Anneissia japonica is the source of this 1059-nucleotide long non-coding RNA. RefSeq lists it as uncharacterized. Lineage: Eukaryota; Metazoa; Echinodermata; Crinoidea; Comatulida; Comatulidae. The transcript has 2 exons. The record is from RefSeq and is a predicted model, not a curated record.
GGCAGCGAGACGCAAGUCAGCCACGCUUUGCAAAGCAGCCAGGCUUUGCAAAACAGUGACGUAGCUUGGCUCUUCCACUUUUAGCAUAGGGAAACUUUUUUUGAAGGUAGUAUCGCGUCAUUUUACGUCAAACCAUAACAAUCUGCGUCAAUGUAGGUAAAUUUGCGUCAAUAUACAUAAAUUGCCGUGAAAUAAACGUCAACACUAAAAAAAAAAAUCUGAGUGUUUGAGGCGUAUACGAUACGGACGUACAUUUAAACUAGGUCGUUGGAUUUUAUAUGGCAGCCCAUUCCAGCAGUCCAUAACAAGCUUGUUUUUGCUGUACCUACACUGUACAUUUCCAUCCUGAAUUAAUUCUGUAAUCAGAUUUUAAAUCAGUAAGCUUCUGUGUUAACAUUUUUCACAGGUGCCUUUUUAUCAGGCAUUUAAACAAAGAGACAUGUACAAAUAGGCUAGAAUAGCAAUUUUUGGACCAGUUCUCUAAAUUUCAUCUGAUAUUGAGUGCACAAAGUUACCGAUACAAGUUUUAUACAUAUUUUACUGUAUGUACAAUAUAAACAAUAAACUAUCCUAUUGUGGGAGGCACAUUUAUAAACCAAAAAAGUGGUAAAAUAUUUUGAUAACAUUAUUAUACAGUGAAAGCAUUUCAUUUGUAUCAUGUUUUUGCACAGUACAUAAGUCAGAUAGUUUUUUUGCAGAACGUAGUAUCUGAUCAGUACAAGUAAAAAAGUAAUCAAUAAAAGUAAACAAUCGGUAAGUCUUAAUAUCUAAUACCUUAGUAUCCAAAUGAAAAGUCAAUAAAUAAUAAGCUUGACUUUUGUUUACUGGUCUAGGCAUCAAUACAAAUUUGUUUCUUGAAAAAUGAUACAUUGUCUUUAAAAAGUAGUCGAAAGUUUUAUAUGUUCCCAAUAUUGUUUUUUGAUUGAAGUGCAAUGUUAAUGCCCAAUAUUAUUAUUUUUUAAAUAUUGGAAUUUGACACAAAUGCCACAAUAACAAAACCUGGUUUACAAUUUAAUUUAGCAGAACUCAGAACAUUUUCUUACACCUUUAUUAGGCUGC